AUGAGAACAAGGUGGUCGAUUCGACGUCGAAUCAAUGUCUAACGGUCUAGGUUACGGCGAAUCGAAAGUGAGGUAGAAGAAAAGUGUUUUUCGACGUCCCGGGAAACGCAAUAAAAUCAAUUAAAAUCACUUACACUGGCAUCCUUUAGCUCGUAACUAACGGUAAUUAUUUUCAAAUUAUUCCAAAAAUGGAAUUUUUUAAUAUUUUGUGCUUAACGUCGAUUCGACGUCUAUUCGACGUUAGCUGCUCAGCUGUUUAAAUUCGCGCGCGCAAGGUGCAGCACGACCGCUGUGCGUGCGAAAAUCUAAAGAUCCUAUAUACAACUUUAUUAAUAUAUCAAACACCUUGCAGUACUCUCGAGGCCCUUAAUAAAAUAAUUUAAUGUAAAGACGAGUUCGUUUGAGUGACGGUGCCCGUAUUUUCGCGUAAGGAUGUGUUGGAUCCUCUUUACGGCCGUUGUUGGAGUUGGCACCAUUGGCUGUUGUGUAUGAUAAGCGAUCGUAAUCAAAUACUACCAGAAAGAGGCCGAACAAAUUUGCUGGUGCUGCGCUGGAUGAAUCGUUUCAGGAGAAUUUGAAAACAAGAACCCCUUUUUUAAGAGCUGUUAACGUUUUGGUGAAUCUUAUGUUUUGCAUCACGAAGAUGGUGGAGAUUCGGCCGUAAGUUACCAGAAGGCAGUCAAAAAUUAUAUUUCGGUAACAGUUGGCCGGGUUUAACUUCAAGUGAAAGAACUAAAAGUUGGGCUCAUCUUGCAUUAUCGAGGAAAACAUUUGCUGAGGACUUCGUACGACGCUCCCAGGCAAGAAUGGAAGUGCACCCAGCGUUAAGUGGCCAAUGUGUUCAUUACAGGUUUUUUUAAGGUACUGUUUACGUGACAUUUUGCAUCGUGACGUGAUAAUUUCUGUCUGGAAAGUCAGCCUUAUUGGCAUAUAAAUUCUCUUGUUCUAUGUAAGUAAAAUUGAACUGUUCUUUACUUUAAAUAGUUAAACAACUUAAAAGCGUUGUUAUCUGUGCCAACAAGGAGACUGCAGUUUGUUGUGUCGUAAUAAACCUUUUGGCUUCCUAAGUUUUUGGUGCAGAAUGCUAAUAUGUGAAAGCUCAUUGAUCUUGAAAUAAAAAUAUAAUUUAUGUCUUGAA
Long non-coding RNA from Thrips palmi, 1138 nucleotides. RefSeq lists it as uncharacterized. The record is from RefSeq and is a predicted model, not a curated record. The transcript has 3 exons. Lineage: Eukaryota; Metazoa; Arthropoda; Insecta; Thysanoptera; Thripidae.